CAGCAGCCACGGUAACACGUAGGGCGCAAGCGUUAUCCGGAAUUAUUGGGCGUAAAGAGCUCGUAGGCGGUUUGUCGCGUCUGCCGUGAAAGUCCGGGGCUCAACCCCGGAUCUGCGGUGGGUACGGGCAGACUAGAGUGAUGUAGGGGAGACUGGAAUUCCUGGUGUAGCGGUGAAAUGCGCAGAUAUCAGGAGGAACACCGAUGGCGAAGGCAGGUCUCUGGGCAUUAACUGACGCUGAGGAGCGAAAGCAUGGGGAGCGAACAGGAUUAGAUACCCGCGUAGUCCCUGUCUCUUAUAA
RNAcentral lists this ribosomal RNA (301 nucleotides) under uncultured bacterium. Its description in RNAcentral is "partial 16S ribosomal RNA". It matches the Rfam family "Bacterial small subunit ribosomal RNA", at positions 509 to 809 of the family's 1533-position model. The record is from RNAcentral.